CCUACGGGGGGCAGCAGUAGGGAAUCUUUCACAAUGGGCGAAAGCCUGAUGGAGCGACGCCGCGUGCAGGAUGAAGGCCUUCGGGUUGUAAACUGCUUUUAUAAGCGAGAAAUAUGAUGGUAACUUAUGAAUAAGGAUCGGCUAACUACGUGCCAGCAGCCGCGGUCAUACGUAGGAUCCGAGCAUUAUCCGGAGUGACUGGGUGUAAAGAGUUGCGUAGGUGGCAUAAUAAGUAGCUAGUGAAAUCUGGUGGCUCAACCAUUCAGACUAUUAGCUAAACUGUUAAGCUCGAGACCGUUAGGGGUAACUGGAAUUUCUAGUGUAGGAGUGAAAUGCGUAGAUAUUAGAAGGAACACCAAUAGCGUAGGCAGGUUACUGGGACGGUUCUGACACUAAGGCACGAAAGCGUAGGGAGCAAACGGGAUUAGAUACCCGUGUAGUC
This 442-nucleotide ribosomal RNA is filed under the name uncultured bacterium. RNAcentral describes it as "partial 16S ribosomal RNA". It matches the Rfam family "Bacterial small subunit ribosomal RNA", at positions 338 to 795 of the family's 1533-position model. The record is from RNAcentral.